RNAcentral lists this ribosomal RNA (285 nucleotides) under uncultured bacterium. RNAcentral's name for it is "partial 16S ribosomal RNA". It matches the Rfam family "Bacterial small subunit ribosomal RNA", at positions 335 to 614 of the family's 1533-position model. The record is from RNAcentral.
GUCCUACGGGAGCAGCAGUAGGGAAUCUUCCACAAUGGGCGAAAGCCUGAUGGAGCAACGCCGCGUGGGUGAAGAAGGUCUUCGGAUCGUAAAACCCUGUUGUUAGAGAAGAAAGUGCGUGAGAGUAACUGUUCACGUUUCGACGGUAUCUAACCAGAAAGCCACGGCUAACUACGUGCCAACAGCCGCGGUAAUACGUAGGUGGCAAGCGUUAUCCGGAUUUAUUGGGCGUAAAGGGAACGCAGGCGGUUUUUUAAGUCUGAUGUGUAAGCCUUCGGAUUAAAC